AUGAACGCUGGCGGCGUGCCUAAUACAUGCAAGUCGAGCGAACGGACGAGAAGCUUGCUUCUCUGAUGUUAGCGGCGGACGGGUGAGUAACACGUGGAUAACCUACCUAUAAGACUGGGAUAACUUCGGGAAACCGGAGCUAAUACCGGAUGAUAUUUUGAACCGCAUGGAUCAAAAGUGAAAGACGGUCUUGCUGUCACUUAUAGAUGGAUCCGCGCUGCAUUAGCUAGUUGGUAAGGUAACGGCUUACCAAGGCAACGAUGCAUAGCCGACCUGAGAGGGUGAUCGGCCACACUGGAACUGAGACACGGUCCAGACUCCUACGGGAGGCAGCAGUAGGGAAUCUUCCGCAAUGGGCGAAAGCCUGACGGAGCAACGCCGCGUGAGUGAUGAAGGUCUUCGGAUCGUAAAACUCUGUUAUUAGGGAAGAACAUAUGUGUAAGUAACUGUGCACAUCUUGACGGUACCUAAUCAGAAAGCCACGGCUAACUACGUG
This 496-nucleotide ribosomal RNA is filed under the name uncultured bacterium. RNAcentral describes it as "partial 16S ribosomal RNA". It matches the Rfam family "Bacterial small subunit ribosomal RNA", at positions 29 to 507 of the family's 1533-position model. The record is from RNAcentral.